CCUUUCUAUUUUGAAAAGGGUUAGAUGAUUUGUUGGGGAGGGGUGUAAACAUAUGUGGGGGAAAUUUUUCCCCUAAAAAGGGUUUUGGGAAAAUAAUUUGGGGGGGAAAAAUUUAAAGGUUUAUAACCCGGGAAUGGGUUCUCCAAAAGGGAAGAAGAUUUUUUUCCCCUUUUAGAAGAGCCCCGCCCUUAGAUUUAGGUUUUUUGGUGAGGUUAUUUGUUCCCCCAAGGGUUCCGAUUUAUAAGUUGAUUGAGAAGGAUGUUCAACCCCAACUGGGACUGAGACACGGCCCCAGAUUCCUAGGGGAGGGCAGCAGUAGGGAAUAAUGGACAAUGGGGGAAACCCUGAUCCAGCAAUGCCGCGUGAGUGAGGAAGGCCUUCGGGUUGUAAAACUCUUUCAUCAAUGAUGAUAAUGACAUUAGUUGAAGAAGAAGCUCCGGCUAACUCCGUGCCAGCAGCCGCGGUAAUACGGAGGGGGCUAGCGUUGUUCCGAAUCACUGGGCGUAAAGCGUAUGUAGGCGGAUCAAAAAGUUAGAUGUGAAAUCCCUGGGCUUAACCCAGGAACAGCAUUUAAUACUAGUGAUCUAGAAUUUGGUAGAGGUUAGUAGAAUUUCCAGUGUAGAGGUGAAAUUCGUAGAUAUUGGAAAGAAUACCAGUGGCGAAGGCGACUAACUGGGCCAUUUUUGACGCUGAGAUACGAAAGCGUGGGUAGCAAACAGGAUUAGAUACCCUGGUAGUCCACGCAGUAAACGAUGAGUGCUAGUCGCUGGGACAAUAGUUUCAGUGUCGAAGCUAACGCAUUAAGCACUCCGCCUGGGAAGUACGGUCGCAAGAUUAAAACUCAAAUAAAUUGACGGGGGCCCGCACAAGCGGUGGAGCAUGUGGUUUAAUUCGAAGCAACGCGAAGAACCUUACCAGACCUUGACAUGGUGUGUUUGAAUUACAGAAUCGUAAUUCUUCAGUUCGGCUGGCACACACACAGGUGCUGCAUGGCUGUCGUCAGCUCGUGUCGUGAGAUGUUGGGUUAAGUCCCGCAACGAGCGCAACCCUCAUUUUUAGUUGCCAUCAGGUUAUGCUGGGCACUCUAAAAAACUGCCGGUGAUAAGCUGGAGGAAGGCGGGGAUGACGUCAAGUCCUCAUGGCCCUUAUGGUCUGGGCUACACACGUGCUACAAUGGUGGUGACAGUGGGCAGCAAUAUCGCAAGAUAAAGCUAAUCCUAAAAAACCAUCUCAGUUCAGAUUGGACUCUGCAACUCGAGUCCAUGAAGUUGGAAUCGCUAGUAAUCGUAGAUCAGCGUGCUAUCUGAACUGCCCCC
This 1316-nucleotide ribosomal RNA is filed under the name uncultured bacterium. RNAcentral describes it as "bacterial SSU rRNA". It matches the Rfam family "Bacterial small subunit ribosomal RNA", at positions 72 to 1375 of the family's 1533-position model. The record is from RNAcentral.